Molecule: ribosomal RNA, 511 nt
Filed under: uncultured bacterium
Lineage: Bacteria
Description: bacterial SSU rRNA
Rfam family: Bacterial small subunit ribosomal RNA
Source: RNAcentral
GAUGAACGCUAGCGGCAGGCUUAAUACAUGCAAGUUGAGGGGCAGCAUAGGGUAGCAAUACUCUGAUGGCGACCGGCAAACGGGUGAGUAACGCGUAUGCAACCUACCCUGUACAGGGGGAUAACCCGGAGAAAUUCGGACUAAUAUCCCGUAAUAAUAUCCGGAGGCAUCUUUGGAUAUUUAAAGUUCCGACGGUACGGGAUGGGCAUGCGUAACAUUAGCUGGUUGGUAAGGUAACGGCUUACCAAGGCUAUGAUGUUUAGGGGUCCUGAGAGGGUGGUCCCCCACACUGGUACUGAGACACGGACCAGACUCCUACGGGAGGCAGCAGUGAGGAAUAUUGGUCAAUGGGCGCAAGCCUGAACCAGCCAUCCCGCGUGCAGGAAGACGGCCCUAUGGGUUGUAAACUGCUUUUCCAGGGAGAGAAACUUACGCACGUGUUGCGUGACUGACGGUACCCUGGGAAUAAGCAUCGGCUAACUCCGUGCCAGCAGUCGCGGUAAUACGUCUA